Molecule: long non-coding RNA, 1353 nt
Organism: Phalaenopsis equestris
Lineage: Eukaryota; Viridiplantae; Streptophyta; Magnoliopsida; Asparagales; Orchidaceae
Exons: 3
Source: RefSeq, a predicted model, not a curated record
UAUUAAAUUGUGCUCGAAUCAACGAAUCUUAAGUGAAAUAAUAAAAUAAAAUAAAAUAAAAAUAGAAAAUUUCCUUGAACCUAAAACCCACCGCAUGCUCUAACUCACGCAGGAGCCAAACCCUUCCCCGAUCCUUCGCAAUUCGGCCCAAUUCUUUUUCUCUCCCGCGAGCAGUUCAUCCGAGUCCUAGCCCGACUCCUCUUCCCCCUCUUUGACCGCUCGCAACCCUAGCUGCCCCGGACUGGCGAUACUUCGGCUCGAGGUCCCUACAUCCCCUGCCUCCACUCCCACUGUGGUCGAUACCUGGCCCUGCAAUGUUUGUCGCCACCUUACCCGUCCCUGUCUCGUUCGGUUACCCGUCCCUUUCUCGUUCGGUUAACCGUCCCUUUCUCGUUCAGUUCAUCUCCAGGUAAGUGGAGUGUUUGGGUUUCUCCUCCUCUUGGAUAUAUAAACCCCACUUGGGGGAGGUUUUCUUCUGGUUGAAAUUUUGGUGCAAGGGGAGGUGCUGCCAAAUUCCGGGUGAUUUCUUGGUCGGUUCUGCCGCUUAAGGGAAAUCUAAAGUUGUUGCUGAAUCUCCACUGGUCGGUGCAUCCCUUGCAAUUUUUGGAGCUCUGUUAAUUUGUUCCCUUCUCUUUUACAUUCAUUCUAACUUCUGGAUUCUUUGGGCAUUUAGGGAGUGACAUGAAGAACAGUCCUCUAAUGGCGGCCCAUGGAACUACCUCCGCUACUUCUCAAGGACAACAAGAAAGAACGAAAUUGAUGGGUCCGUGUCUUGCCAAUGCCACCAUGGUCCACCAUGGAUAGAAGAGAAAUGUUUUAGUACAAAGUAGGGCUAGCAAUAUGUGUCAGAUUUUCAUUUGUUGGCGUCCUCAACCACUGCAUAACUCCUCGCCUCGACCGAUGAGAUCAUUUUUAGGGAAGCAUCCUGUUUCACGAUCUUUGCACAACUGAAGCUCCAGCUCCUACUACUGCUGCUCCUGCUUUGCGUUUUUGAUGGGAUGAAGUACCACAUGGAGGACGUGAUUGGGGGAGAGGAGGAUGAGUUAGAAAUACCAGAGUGCAUUAUUUGCUUGUUAGAGUUCGAAAAAGGAGAGGAGAUUUGGCAAUUUAGAAUGCACACAUUUCUUUCACGCAGCUUGCAUUAGUAGAUGGCUAAUCUCACAUAAUACUUGUCCUACUUGUUGCACCAUUAUUUGAUGCCAUACAUCACAUUAUGUAUUUGUUUAUGUGUGUAACAGUAUAAGUGCGUAUUUGUGUGUUGUGCUGUAAGAAAUAUAUGAGUGGGAUCCUCUGUGUUAGUAAGAAUGUUCUAAAAAUAUUGUAACAACAGUUUACAUUCAUUUCUAAAAUGUA